This 271-nucleotide ribosomal RNA is filed under the name uncultured archaeon. RNAcentral's name for it is "partial 16S ribosomal RNA". It matches the Rfam family "Archaeal small subunit ribosomal RNA", at positions 477 to 747 of the family's 1478-position model. The record is from RNAcentral.
CAGCGCCCCGAGUGGCAAUCGCGAUUAUUGGGCCUAAAGCGUUCGUAGCCGGCCUCGUCAGUCCUUUGUGAAAUCGUCGCGCUUAACGUGACGGCGUGCAGGGGAUACUGCGAGGCUCGGGACCGGGAGGAGUCAGAGGUAUGCCUUGGGGACCGGUAAAAUGGGAUAAUCCAAGGUAGACCGCCGAUGGCGAAGGCAUCUGACCAGAACGGAUCCGACGGUGAGGAACGAAAGCCAGGGGAGCGAACCGGAUUAGAUACCCGAGUAGUCC